AGCGAACGCUGGCGGCAGGCCUAACACAUGCAAGUCGAACGGACCCUUCGGGGUUAGUGGCGGACGGGUGGGUAACACGUGGGAACGUGCCUUUAGGUUCGGAAUAGCUCCUGGAAACGGGUGGUAAUGCCGAAUGUGCCCUUCGGGGAAAGAUUUAUCGCCUUUAGAGCGGCCCGCGUCUGAUUAGCUUGUUGGUGGGGUAAUGGCCCACCAAGGCUACGAUCAGUAGCUGGUCUGAGAGGAUGACCAGCCACAUUGGGACUGAGACACGGCCCAAACUCCUACGGGAGGCAGCAGUGGGGAAUCUUGCGCAAUGGGCGAAAGCCUGACGCAGCCAUGCCGCGUGUAUGAUGAAGGUCUUAGGAUUGUAAAAUACUUUCACCGGUGAAGAUAAUGACUGUAGCCGGAGAAGAAGCCCCGGCUAACUUCGUGCCAGCAGCCGCGGUAAUACGAAGGGGGCUAGCGUUGCUCGGAAUUACUGGGCGUAAAGGGAGCGUAGGCGGACAUUUAAGUCAGG
This 517-nucleotide ribosomal RNA is filed under the name uncultured bacterium. RNAcentral's name for it is "bacterial SSU rRNA". It matches the Rfam family "Bacterial small subunit ribosomal RNA", at positions 28 to 592 of the family's 1533-position model. The record is from RNAcentral.